RNAcentral lists this transfer RNA (72 nucleotides) under Flavobacteriales bacterium. RNAcentral describes it as "tRNA-Arg". It matches the Rfam family "tRNA". Rfam says of the family: Transfer RNA (tRNA) molecules are approximately 80 nucleotides in length. Their secondary structure includes four short double-helical elements and three loops (D, anti-codon, and T loops). Further hydrogen bonds mediate the characteristic L-shaped molecular structure. tRNAs have two regions of fundamental functional importance: the anti-codon, which is responsible for specific mRNA codon recognition, and the 3' end, to which the tRNAs corresponding amino acid is attached (by aminoacyl-tRNA synthetases). tRNAs cope with the degeneracy of the genetic code in two manners: having more than one tRNA (with a specific anti-codon) for a particular amino acid; and 'wobble' base-pairing, i.e. permitting non-standard base-pairing at the 3rd anti-codon position. The record is from RNAcentral. Lineage: Bacteria; Pseudomonadati; Bacteroidota; Flavobacteriia; Flavobacteriales.
CCCGUUAGCUCAAUUGGAUAGAGCGUCAGACUUCUAAUCUGAAGGUUGUGGGUUCGAGUCCCAUACGGGAUA